GUCGAACGCUGGCGGCAUGUCUAAGGCAUGCAAGUCGAACGAACAAUUACGGUGCUUGCACUGUAUGCGUGAGUGGCAAACGGGAGAGUAACAUAUUGGAAAUCUACCUCGUACUCGUGAACAACCUGGGGAAACCCAGGCUAAUACACGAUAUUGAUGGGGGGACGCAAGUCAUUCCCAUUGAAAGAUUUUUCGGUGCGAGAGGAUCCUAUACACUAUCAGCUUGUUGGUGAGGUAAUGGCUCACCAAGGCUAUGACGGUUACCGGGCGUGAGAGCGUGACCCGGCUCACUGGGACUGAGACACUGCCCAGACUCCUACGGGGGGCUGCAGUCAAGAAUCUUCCACAAUGCACGAAAGUGUGAUGGAGCAAUGCCGCGUGCCGGAUGAAGGCCUUCGGGUCGUAAACGGCUGUUCUGAGGGACGAAUUUGUGACGGUACCUCAGCAGAAAGUGGGUGCUAACUCUG
RNAcentral lists this ribosomal RNA (467 nucleotides) under uncultured bacterium. Its description in RNAcentral is "bacterial SSU rRNA". It matches the Rfam family "Bacterial small subunit ribosomal RNA", at positions 28 to 505 of the family's 1533-position model. The record is from RNAcentral.